CACUAUUCGCAAUCGUAAAUAGAUCAAAAAUUUACCAGAGUACUAUGAAUGUAUAAAAAUUUAAAACUCAAAGGGCUUGGCGGUGUUUUAGACCUAUCAGGGGAACCUGUCUCGUAAUCGACAAUCCGCGCAAAACCUAACCCUAUUUUGUAUUCAGUUUGUAUACCGUCGUCGUCAGGUAACUUUUAAAAAAUUAGAAGUUAGCAAUAAAAAUAAGGUAGAUUAAUACGUCAGAUCAAGGUGCAGCUAAUGAAAGGGAGAGGAUGGGUUACAAUUAUAUUAUUUAUAAUCACGGAUAGUUAAAUGAAAAUAUAACUUAAAGGAGGACUUGAAAGUAAAAUAAAAUAUAUAAACAAUUUGAAUACGGCUCUGAAACGUGC
RNAcentral lists this ribosomal RNA (380 nucleotides) under Manaria clandestina. RNAcentral's name for it is "partial 12S ribosomal RNA". The record is from RNAcentral. Lineage: Eukaryota; Metazoa; Mollusca; Gastropoda; Neogastropoda; Buccinidae.